Molecule: ribosomal RNA, 253 nt
Filed under: uncultured prokaryote
Description: partial 16S ribosomal RNA
Rfam family: Bacterial small subunit ribosomal RNA
Source: RNAcentral
UACAGGGGGUGCUAGCGUUGUUCGGAAUUACUGGGCGUAAAGGGCGCGUAGGCGGUUUCGCAAGUCAGAGGUGAAAUCCCGGAGCUUAACUCCGGAAUUGCUUCUGAUACUGUGAGGCUAGAGUGUAUUAGAGGAUGGCGGAAUUCCUAGUGUAGUGGUGAAAUACGUAGAUAUUAGGAAGAACACCGGUGGCGAAGGCGGCCAUCUGGGAUACAACUGACGCUGAGGCGCGAAAGCGUGGGGAGCAAACAGG